RNAcentral lists this ribosomal RNA (471 nucleotides) under uncultured bacterium. RNAcentral describes it as "SSU rRNA". It matches the Rfam family "Bacterial small subunit ribosomal RNA", at positions 26 to 517 of the family's 1533-position model. The record is from RNAcentral.
AGGAUGAACGCUGGCGGCGUGCCUAACACAUGCAAGUCGAACGUCCUGUCUCGCAAGAGGCAGGGAGUGGCGGACGGGUGAGUACCACGUGGGUCAUCUACCGUGAGGUGAGGAAUACCGGCGAGAAAUCGCCGACAAGACCGCAUAGGCUCGAUGCAAGUCGAGCAAAGCUCUUUCGAGAGAGGGAGCGCCACACGAGGAGCCUGCGCCCGAUUAGCUAGCUGGUGGAGUAACGGCUCACCAGGGCGACGAUCGGUAGCUGGUCUGAGAGGACGAUCAGCCACACUGGGAUUGAGAACGGCCCAGACUCCUACGGGGGGCAGCAGUGAGGAAUUUUCGCAAUGGGGGCAACCCUGAACGAGCAACGCCGCGUGCAGGAAGAAGGUUUUCGGAUCGUAAACUGCUUUUCUCGGGGAAGAGAACGGACGGUACCCGAGGAAUCAGCCCCGGCUAACUACGUGCCAGCAGCCG